AACGAACGUUAGCGGCGCGCCUAACACAUGCAAGUCGCACGAGAAAGGGCUUCGGCCCCGGUAAAGUGGCGCACGGGUGAGUAACACGUAGGCAAUCUGCCCUAAAGUGGUGGAUAACCCUCCGAAAGGAGGGCUAAUACAGCAUGAGACCACGGCAUCCACGGAUGCUGCGGCCAAAGUAGGCCUCUCCACGGAAGCUUACGCUAUAGGAUGAGCCUGCGGCCCAUCAGCUUGUUGGCGAGGUAAUGGCUCACCAAGGCUUAGACGGGUAGCUGGUCUGAGAGGACGACCAGCCACACUGGGACUGAGACACGGCCCAGACUCCUACGGGAGGCUG
RNAcentral lists this ribosomal RNA (337 nucleotides) under uncultured Pseudomonadota bacterium. RNAcentral's name for it is "bacterial SSU rRNA". It matches the Rfam family "Bacterial small subunit ribosomal RNA", at positions 29 to 351 of the family's 1533-position model. The record is from RNAcentral. Lineage: Bacteria; Pseudomonadati; Pseudomonadota.